RNAcentral lists this ribosomal RNA (117 nucleotides) under Danio rerio (zebrafish). Lineage: Eukaryota; Metazoa; Chordata; Actinopteri; Cypriniformes; Danionidae. The record is from RNAcentral.
UGCCAGAGCCAUAUCACCCUGCAGCCCAAGACCGGUUACUCACUGAAGUUAAGCAGGGCUGAGCCUGGUCAGUACCUGGAAGGUAGACCACAUGGGAAAGCUAGGUUGCUUUUGGAA